This 522-nucleotide ribosomal RNA is filed under the name uncultured Sphingobacterium sp. RNAcentral describes it as "bacterial SSU rRNA". It matches the Rfam family "Bacterial small subunit ribosomal RNA", at positions 9 to 522 of the family's 1533-position model. The record is from RNAcentral. Lineage: Bacteria; Pseudomonadati; Bacteroidota; Sphingobacteriia; Sphingobacteriales; Sphingobacteriaceae.
GAGUUUGAUCGUGGCUCAGGAUGAACGCUAGCGGCAGGCCUAAUACAUGCAAGACGAACGGUAAGUUGUGUAGCAAUACAGAUGCUGGCGACCGGCAAACGGGUGCGGAACACGUACACAACCUUCCUUCGAGCGGGGAAUAGCCCAGAGAAAUUUGGAUUAAAUACCCCAUAGUACUACGAAGUGGCAUCACUUUGUACUUAAAGAUUUAUCACUUGAAGAUGGGUGUGCGGCUGAUUAGGUAGUUGGCGGGGUAACGGCCCACCAAGCCUUCGAUCAGUAACUGGCGUGAGAGCACGACCAGUCACACGGGCACUGAGACACGGGCCCGACUCCUACGGGAGGCAGCAGUAAGGAAUAUUGGUCAAUGGACGAAAGUCUGAACCAGCCAUGCCGCGUGGAGGAUGAAGGUCCUCUGGAUUGUAAACUUCUUUUAUAUGGGACGAAAAAAGGGUUUUCUAACUCGUCUGACGGUACCAUAUAGAAUAAGCACCGGCUAACUCCGUGCCAGCAGCCGCCGCA